ACGGCGGCUUUAACUAUAAGAGUCCUACGGUGGAAAAUUCGCCGCCGUAGUAAAAUCUGACUAUAUGCUGGAAAAUCCGGUGUAUCCCGUGCUACUCUUGAAAUAGAGUAAAAAAGCAACAGGUGCGGAUAAUCAGCAGGAAAGGUUCUUAAAGAAAAAUUUAAGAAAAUCCUCAGAGACUAUACGUCAGACUCCAGUUAGAUAAUUUUGUAUCUGAUGGAGAUGAUAUAGUCCGAUCCUUAUAGCGAUAUAAGG
RNAcentral lists this non-coding RNA (255 nucleotides) under Candidatus Woesebacteria bacterium GW2011_GWB1_39_10b. RNAcentral's name for it is "self-splicing intron". It matches the Rfam family "Group I catalytic intron". From Rfam's summary of the family: Group I catalytic introns are large self-splicing ribozymes. The record is from RNAcentral. Lineage: Bacteria; Candidatus Woeseibacteriota.